Molecule: ribosomal RNA, 254 nt
Filed under: uncultured bacterium
Lineage: Bacteria
Description: partial 16S ribosomal RNA
Rfam family: Bacterial small subunit ribosomal RNA
Source: RNAcentral
CACGUAGGGGGCGAGCGUUGUCCGGAUUCAUUGGGCGUAAAGAGCUCGUAGGCGGCUCAGUAAGUCGGGUGUGAAACCCUCAGGCUCAACCUGGGGACGCCACUCGAUACUGCUGUGGCUAGAGUCCAGUAGGGGAGUGUGGAAUUCCCGGUGUAGCGGUGAAAUGCGUAGAUAUCUGGAGGAACACCGGUGGCGAAGGCGGCAUCCUGGACCGGCAUUGACGCUGAGGCGCGAAAGCUAGGGGAGCAAACGGG